UGGUCCUGGCCUUGAAAUCAAUUUUUACUUUACUUAUACAUGCAAGUCUCCGCACCCCUGUGAAAACGCCCUUUAAUACCUAUUAGGAGUAAGGAGCUGGUAUCAGGCACAAUAUUUUAGCCCAAGACACCUAGCUAUGCCACACCCACAAGGGACUUCAGCAGUAAUUAACAUUGAACAUAAGCGCCAGCUUGAUUCAGUUAUAGUAAGAAGGGCAGGCAAAUCUGGUGCCAGCCGCCGCGGUUACACCAUGUGGCCCAAAUUGAUUUCUUUCGGCGUAAAGAGUGAUUAAAGUGAUACUAUACUGUAGUUUAACUAAAAUUAAGUCGUUAAAAGCUUGUAUAUAGGAAACCCAAAAACGAAGGUUACUACACCCAAAACAACUUGAACUCACAAUAGCUAAGGUACAAACUAGGAUUUGAGACCCUACUAUGCUUAGCCAUAAACUUUUAAUUACACCCCAAACGCCCGGGAACUACGAGCAAAGCUUAAAACCCAAAGGACUUGACGGUGCCCCAUAUCCCCCUAGAGGAGCCUGUCCAAUAAUCGAUGAUCCCCGUUCAACCUCACCAUUUUUAGCCUCAUCAGUCUGUAUACCUCCGUCGUCAGCUUACCACGUGAGUGAAAUAUAGUAAGUUUAAUGUUCUAUUACUCAUCAAUACGUCAGGUCAAGGUGCAACUAAUAAAAUGGGAAGAGAUGGGCUACACUCUCUAACUUAGAACAUACGAAAGACUACUAUGAAAACUAGUCUGAAGGUGGAUUUAGCAGUAAAAAAAGACCAGAAUGCUUUUUUUAACUAGGCCCUGGGGUGUGUACACACCGCCCGUCACCCUCUUCGCAGCCACAAUUUAGUAAUUAACAAAAUUUGCACACAAGAAGAGGCAAGUCGUAACAUGGUAAGUAUACCGGAAGGUGUACUUGGAAA
This 926-nucleotide non-coding RNA is filed under the name Boana pulchella (Montevideo treefrog). RNAcentral's name for it is "partial 12S ribosomal RNA". It matches the Rfam family "Bacterial small subunit ribosomal RNA". The record is from RNAcentral. Lineage: Eukaryota; Metazoa; Chordata; Amphibia; Anura; Hylidae.